Molecule: ribosomal RNA, 207 nt
Filed under: uncultured bacterium
Lineage: Bacteria
Description: partial 16S ribosomal RNA
Rfam family: Bacterial small subunit ribosomal RNA
Source: RNAcentral
AGCGCAGGCGGGAAGACAAGUUGGAAGUGAAAUCUAUGGGCUCAACCCAUAAACUGCUUUCAAAACUGUUUUUCUUGAGUAGUGCAGAGGUAGGCGGAAUUCCCGGUGUAGCGGCGGAAUGCGUAGAUAUCGGGAGGAACACCAGUGGCGAAGGCGGCCUACUGGGCACCAACUGACGCUGAGGCUCGAAAGUGUGGGUAGCAAACA